This 305-nucleotide ribosomal RNA is filed under the name uncultured bacterium. RNAcentral's name for it is "bacterial SSU rRNA". It matches the Rfam family "Bacterial small subunit ribosomal RNA", at positions 333 to 631 of the family's 1533-position model. The record is from RNAcentral.
GGACGCCUACGGGACGCAGCAGUGGGGAAUAUUGGACAAUGGGCGCAAGCCUGAUCCAGCAAUGCCGCGUGUGUGAAGAAGGCCUUCGGGUUGUAAAGCACUUUAAGUUGGGAAGAAAAAACUCGCUCUAACACAGUGAGUCUUGACGGUACCGACAGAAUAAGCACCGGCUAACUCUGUGCCAGCAGCCGCGGUAAUACAGAGGGUGCAAGCGUUAGUCGGAUUUACUGGGCGUAAAGCGUGCGUAGGCGGUUCGUUAAGUCGAUUGUGAGAGCCCUGGGCUUAACCUGGGAAUUGCAGUCGAU